GAGGUAAUGUGUGAUGCGAGUGA
Molecule: non-coding RNA, 23 nt
Filed under: Arabidopsis thaliana (thale cress)
Lineage: Eukaryota; Viridiplantae; Streptophyta; Magnoliopsida; Brassicales; Brassicaceae
Source: RNAcentral